RNAcentral lists this transfer RNA (75 nucleotides) under Cordylochernes scorpioides. RNAcentral describes it as "tRNA-Ser". It matches the Rfam family "tRNA". From Rfam's summary of the family: Transfer RNA (tRNA) molecules are approximately 80 nucleotides in length. Their secondary structure includes four short double-helical elements and three loops (D, anti-codon, and T loops). Further hydrogen bonds mediate the characteristic L-shaped molecular structure. tRNAs have two regions of fundamental functional importance: the anti-codon, which is responsible for specific mRNA codon recognition, and the 3' end, to which the tRNAs corresponding amino acid is attached (by aminoacyl-tRNA synthetases). tRNAs cope with the degeneracy of the genetic code in two manners: having more than one tRNA (with a specific anti-codon) for a particular amino acid; and 'wobble' base-pairing, i.e. permitting non-standard base-pairing at the 3rd anti-codon position. Lineage: Eukaryota; Metazoa; Arthropoda; Arachnida; Pseudoscorpiones; Chernetidae. The record is from RNAcentral.
GGUCAUGUGGCCUAGUGGUCAUGGCAUCUGCCCGGAAAGCGGAAGGUCGUGGGUUCGAUUCCCAUCCCUUGACUC